GGGAAUGUGGCUCAGUAGUAGAGUGCUUGCCUUGCAUGCAUGAGACCCUAGGUUCAAUUCCUCAGCACCA
RNAcentral lists this transfer RNA (70 nucleotides) under Dipodomys ordii (Ord's kangaroo rat). It matches the Rfam family "tRNA". From Rfam's summary of the family: Transfer RNA (tRNA) molecules are approximately 80 nucleotides in length. Their secondary structure includes four short double-helical elements and three loops (D, anti-codon, and T loops). The record is from Rfam by way of RNAcentral. Lineage: Eukaryota; Metazoa; Chordata; Mammalia; Rodentia; Heteromyidae.